AAUAAAGUGCCUGAUUAAAGGAUUAUUAUGAUAUAAUAAAUUAUGUAUCUCAAAAUACCUUUAUUA
Molecule: transfer RNA, 66 nt
Filed under: Neotrogla sp. 5 KY-2017
Lineage: Eukaryota; Metazoa; Arthropoda; Insecta; Psocodea; Prionoglarididae
Description: tRNA-Ile
Source: RNAcentral